This 460-nucleotide ribosomal RNA is filed under the name uncultured bacterium. RNAcentral's name for it is "partial 16S ribosomal RNA". It matches the Rfam family "Bacterial small subunit ribosomal RNA", at positions 338 to 795 of the family's 1533-position model. The record is from RNAcentral.
CCUACGGGCGACAGCAGUGAGGAAUAUUGGUCAAUGGGCGGAAGCCUGAACCAGCCAAGUAGCGUGAAGGAUGACUGCCCUAUGGGUUGUAAACUUCUUUUAUAAGGGAAUAAAACGAGGUACGUGUGCCUUUUUGCAUGUACUUUAUGAAUAAGGACCGGCUAAUUCCGUGCCAGCAGCCGCGGUAAUACGGAGGGUCCGAGCGUUAUCCGGAUUUAUUGGGUUUAAAGGGAGCGUAGAUGGCUUGUUAAGUCAGUUGUGAAAGUUUGCGGCUCAACCGUAAAAUUGCAAUUGAAACUGGCAGUCUUGAGUACAGUUGAGGUAGGCGGAAUUCGUGGUGUAGCGGUGAAAUGCUUAGAUAUCACGAAGAACCCCGAUUGCGAAGGCAGCUUACUAAACUGUGACUGACACUGAUGCUCGAAAGCGUGGGUAUCAAACAGGAUUAGAUACCCUUGUAGUC